RNAcentral lists this ribosomal RNA (691 nucleotides) under uncultured bacterium. RNAcentral's name for it is "bacterial SSU rRNA". It matches the Rfam family "Bacterial small subunit ribosomal RNA", at positions 66 to 754 of the family's 1533-position model. The record is from RNAcentral.
ACGGUAACAGGUCUUCGGAUGCUGACGAGUGGCGAACGGGUGAGUAAUACAUCGGAACGUGCCCGAUCGUGGGGGAUAACGAAGCGAAAGCUUUGCUGAUACCGCAUACGAUCUACGGAUGAAAGCAGGGGACCGCAAGGCCUUGCGCGAACGGAGCGGCCGAUGGCAGAUUAGGUAGUUGGUGGGAUAAAAGCUUACCAAGCCGACGAUCUGUAGCUGGUCUGAGAGGACGACCAGCCACACUGGGACUGAGACACGGCCCAGGCUCCUACGGGAGGCAGCAGUGGGGAAUUUUGGACAAUGGGCGAAAGCCUGAUCCAGCCAUGCCGCGUGCAGGAUGAAGGCCUUCGGGUUGUAAACUGCUUUUGUACGGAACGAAAAGACUCUGGUUAAUACCUGGGGUCCAUGACGGUACCGUAAGAAUAAGCACCGGCUAACUACGUGCCAGCAGCCGCGGUAAUACGUAGGGUGCAAGCGUUAAUCGGAAUUACUGGGCGUAAAGCGUGCGCGGGCGGUUAUAUAAGACAGAUGUGAAAUCCCCGGGCUCAACCUGGGAACUGCAUUUGUGACUGUAUAGCUAGAGUACGGCAGAGGGGGAUGGAAUUCCGCGUGUAGCAGUGAAAUGCGUAGAUAUGCGGAGGAACACCGAUGGCGAAGGCAAUCCCCUGGGCCUGUACUGACGCUCAUGCAC